AGCGAACGCUGGCGGCAGGCUUAACACAUGCCAGUCGAGCGGGCAUCUUCGGAUGUCAGCGGCAGACGGGUGAGUAACACGUGGGAACGUACCCUUCGGUUCGGAACAACUCUGGGAAACUGGAGCUAAUACCGGAUACGCCCUUAUGGGGGAAGGUUUACUGCCGAAGGAUCGGCCCGCGUCUGAUUAGCUAGUUGGUGGGGUAACGGCCUACCAAGGCGACGAUCAGUAGCUGGUCUGAGAGGAUGAUCAGCCACACUGGGACUGAGACACGGCCCAGACUCCUACGGGAGGCAGCAGUGGGGAAUAUUGGACAAUGGGCGCAAGCCUGAUCCAGCCAUGCCGCGUGAGUGAUGAAGGCCUUAGGGUUGUAAAGCUCUUUUGUCCGGGACGAUAAUGACGGUACCGGAAGAAUAAGCCCCGGCUAACUUCGUG
This 435-nucleotide ribosomal RNA is filed under the name uncultured bacterium. RNAcentral describes it as "partial 16S ribosomal RNA". It matches the Rfam family "Bacterial small subunit ribosomal RNA", at positions 29 to 507 of the family's 1533-position model. The record is from RNAcentral.